AUGUUCUCUGUAACUCUGCUGCUGCUGGUGGCUGCUGCAUCCUAUGUGAAGUGUGAACAGCUGACACAACCAGCCGCAUUAACUGUGCAGCCAGGUCAAAGCCUGACCAUCAGAUGUCAGGUCUCUUAUGACCUGAGCUACUGGACAGCUUUUAUCAGACAGGCUGCAGGGAAAGGACUGGAGUGGAUUGGCGUGAAUGAUAAGCAUGGAAAUUUACACUUCAAAGAGUCACUGAAGAACAAGUUCAGUAUCGAUGUAGACACCAACAGCAACACAGUGACUCUAAAUGGACAGAAUAUGCAGCCUGAAGACUCUGCUGUGUAUUACUGUGCCAGAGCUCCACAGUGUUGA
Poecilia reticulata (guppy) is the source of this 351-nucleotide non-coding RNA. NCBI's taxonomy places the organism in Eukaryota, Metazoa, Chordata, Actinopteri, Cyprinodontiformes, Poeciliidae. The record is from the annotation of a RefSeq genome assembly.